GCAAAAGUAACUCUGCUCAGUACAAGAGAAACUGCAGGUUCAGACAUUUGGUGUGUGUGUGCUUGGGUGAUGUAAAGCCAGUGAUGUAAAGCUACCAUCUGUGGGAUUAGGGCUGAUCACCUCCAAGACUGAAUUCUCCCUAAAUGGC
RNAcentral lists this non-coding RNA (148 nucleotides) under Lepisosteus oculatus (spotted gar). Its description in RNAcentral is "Eukaryotic large subunit ribosomal RNA". It matches the Rfam family "Eukaryotic large subunit ribosomal RNA", at positions 3013 to 3155 of the family's 3401-position model. Lineage: Eukaryota; Metazoa; Chordata; Actinopteri; Semionotiformes; Lepisosteidae. The record is from Rfam by way of RNAcentral.